GAAUCAUGAUACAGAUCCAUCUGUUAUUGUUCAACUAUUAGUUGUUGAAUUGUGGGAUGAUGCCUGCUGUUAUGUUGGCUGCUCAGCUGAUCGUUUGCUACCCGUUAACCAUGACAAGGCUAUGAAUAUAGAGCAAGCCCAGUUCAGCGGUUAUUUUUCACGCAAAAGGAUGGAGUUCUAUGAUUCCUGGAGUGGGUAAAUUGCUUCUGGUUCAGAUUUGGCAUGAAAUUGACUAUGGGAGAAGGAUCCUGAUGGCAUUGCUCUCGCGGAUUUCAUUAACUCGAUUUUACCAAACAACAUCAAAAUUAUUUCUUUAGUAGAUGGCCCAGCUUAUAUAUAUGUUUCUUUGUCCUUACUUCUGUGCUCUCGACAUAGCCAGAGUGUUUGGUACUAUAAUAUAUUCCUCUAUUUUCCUGGUUGUAUAUAAAUGUUGAGAACUUCAUUUGUAAUUUCGUGUGCUUUGUCCUAAUAUCAUUC
Molecule: long non-coding RNA, 477 nt
Organism: Lolium rigidum
Lineage: Eukaryota; Viridiplantae; Streptophyta; Magnoliopsida; Poales; Poaceae
Exons: 4
Source: RefSeq, a predicted model, not a curated record